UUAUUAAAUAAAUAUGUUAAAGUUAAAUUUAUAUUAAAAUUUUAUAAUUAUUAGUAUCUGUAGAAAUUAGUUAUAUUUGUUUGGACUGUAAAGGAUUUUAUAUAAUACAUAAAGAAUUAUUUUUAUAGUACCUUUAGUAUCAGGGUAAGUUAAUUAAUUAAAUUAUUUUAUUUUCCCGAAUUUGAAUGAUCAAAUUUUGUAUGAUAUAUUUGUGUCAAAAGAUUUUUUAAUACAUUAUUAGUAAUUAUAUGUUAGUCGUUUUCUGUUUAUCUGGUUAUUAAGGAAAUUAAAUUUAAUUUUACACUUUUUAAUUUAUUAAUUAAUCAAUAUUAUUUUUUAAGUGUUAAUUUAUUGGGGACGAUCUCGGUAAAUAUAAAUUAUUACAUGUAGUUAUUUUUUUAUUUUUUUACUUUUAAAUUUUGUAUUUAGUUUUUAUUAAAUUGGUUAAAUUAUAUAUUAUUUUUUUGUGUAUAUUUUUUUACUUAAUUAAUUGGUUUAAUUUUCAAUCUUAUUUAAUAAUGAUUUAAUUAGUAUAAUAAAUUAAUUAAGGUAAAUGAAUUCGACAAAUAUUAUUUCCAACUGUUUAUCAAAAACAUUUCUUUUUGAUUUCAUAAAAAGUAUCUUCUGCCCUAUGGUUUAAAAUCUAAAUGGCUGCAGUAUUUUGACUGUGCAAAGGUAGCAUAGUAAUUAGUUUUUUAAUUGAAAGCUUGUAUGAAUGGAUGUAUGAGAAUUAUAUUUUAUUUCUUUAAAUGUUAAAAUUUAAAUUUAAAGUUAAAAUGCUUUAUUAAUUUAUUGGGACGAUAAGACCCUAUAGAACUUUAUAUAAUUUAUAUUAUUGAGUUUUAUUUGUAUAUUUUUUAAUAUUUCUGUUAUAUUUUGCUGGGGUGGCAACUAAAUAAAUAACUUUAGUUUUAAUAAUCAUUUGUUUGUGAAAUUUUAGAUCCUUAAAUUAAUAAUGGAUAAUAAGAUAAAGUUACCUUAGGGAUAACAGCGUAAUUUUAAUGGGGAGUUCAUAUCUAUAUUGUAUUUUGCGACCUCGAUGUUGAAUUAAGAAAAUUUUAAGAAGCAGUAUUCUUAAUAAUAAGUCUGUUCGACUUUUAAAUUCUUACAUGAUUUGAGUUCAAACCGGCGUGAGCCAGGUUGGUUUCUAUCUGAUAAAUAUUUUUUGUGCUUAGUACGAAAGGACCAGUAUAAAUUACUAAUAGUAAAUAUUUUAAUAAU
Molecule: ribosomal RNA, 1221 nt
Filed under: Nesophrosyne haleakala
Lineage: Eukaryota; Metazoa; Arthropoda; Insecta; Hemiptera; Cicadellidae
Description: 16S ribosomal RNA
Source: RNAcentral